GACGAACGCUGGCGGCGUGCCUAAUACAUGCAAGUUGAGCGAUGAAGCUUGGUGCUUGCACCCAUUUGAAGAGCAGCGAACGGGUGAGUAACGCGUGGGGAAUCUGCCUUUGAGCGGGGGACAACAUUUGGAAACGAAUGCUAAUACCGCAUAAUAACUUUAAACAUAAGUUUUAAGUUUGAAAGAUGCAAUUGCAUCACUCAAAGAUGAUCCCGCGUUGUAUUAGCUAGUUGGUGAGGUAAAGGCUCACCAAGGCGAUGAUACAUAGCCGACCUGAGAGGGUGAUCGGCCAGAUUGAGACGGAGACACGGCCCAAACUCCUACGGGAGGCAGCAGUAGGGGAUCUUCGGCAAUGGACGAAAGUCUGACCGAGCAACGCCGCGUGAGUGAAGAAGGGUUUCGGAUCGUAAAACUCUGUUGGUAGAGAAGAACGUUGGUGAGAGUGGAAAGCUCAUCAAGUGACGGUAACUACCCAGAAAGGGACGGCUAACUACGUG
This 497-nucleotide ribosomal RNA is filed under the name uncultured bacterium. RNAcentral describes it as "partial 16S ribosomal RNA". It matches the Rfam family "Bacterial small subunit ribosomal RNA", at positions 28 to 507 of the family's 1533-position model. The record is from RNAcentral.